CAGAUGCUAGGAAGACGUGUGAAGGGAAACAGUUAACAUUUCUACACUGCAACUUUUUCACUUGAGACUCACAGCAUUCCUAUGAGAAAGAUCUGCAGACGAAGGUCCAAAGGAAGAAGAUUUUGUUGAAGACUGAAAAGAGAAAUAUACUUGGUGGACAGAGAUAACUCCUUUCAGCACAGAGGUCAGAUGACAAGGCUGCAGCAUGAAGAAGAUGCCAUAUUGUGGAAUUGGGUGUCAAGGAGAAGACAUUCGAAGGUGCAUGAACAGAGUGAAGGUGGUGCAAGCAAGUGCAGAGGAGGUGGGGAGACUGGAGUGCUGGGAAAAGGGUCAGCAGAAGCUAGCAAACAUGAAAGACACAACACAAAACAAGCAGUUGUGCAAAUUAGGAUGAUAAGGGGGGAGUGGUCAAAGGUGUG
RNAcentral lists this long non-coding RNA (419 nucleotides) under Homo sapiens (human). RNAcentral describes it as "HSALNT0386084". The record is from RNAcentral. Lineage: Eukaryota; Metazoa; Chordata; Mammalia; Primates; Hominidae.